GCUCAGUGUAAGUUCUCCGUUAGCUUGUCAAGCUAUGUUUGAACUCGUUCCAGAAUACUGGAAAAUACUGGAUUUACUUUUUUUUUCCCCCACCAGGAAGAAUGCUUGAUUAGACUGCAUUUUGCCCUUCUUUUUUUUCUCUCUCUCUCGUUCUUUCUUUCUUUCUGCCAUAAGAUUGGAAACAAUAUUCUUUUCUGAUCAGUUCACUAAUACAUUGUCCUUCAGUGUCUACAUGAACAUUUCAGUGGAGAAGAAAAGAAACUUUGCUACCUGGGAACUGAAGACUGCUUAGGUCAGUGAAUGCUAAUAAAGUUUUAAGGACUCAUGGAGCCAGGAGUUAACUUUUCUCAACUGUUAAGGGGAAUAUUGGAGAAGACAGAAACUAGAGAGAAAUUGUAGCCAGAGCAGAUUUCGGUUGGCCGUAAGAAGUUUCUUCAUGCAAUGAGAAAUGAACAAAUGACGGACAUGCUCACAGAUUGUAGAAAGAAGGGAAAGGAUGGAAAAGGAGAGAAAGAGAAACAUAGAGGCAAGAGAGAAGCAUUGAUCCAUUGCCUCUCCUACCUGCCCCAACCGGGAACUGAACCCACAACCUAUGUAUGGAUGUACCCCAACGGGGAAUUGAACCCGCAUCCUUUCUGCUUAGUGGAUGACCCUCCAACCAACUGAGCUGCACUGCCCAGGGCAAUAUGAAUGUACUUAAUGCCAAUGAACUGUAUAAGUAUGUUUUAGAUGGUAAAUUUAAUGGUAUA
This is a long non-coding RNA of Pteronotus mesoamericanus, 749 nucleotides long. RefSeq lists it as uncharacterized. The transcript is spliced from 3 exons. NCBI's taxonomy places the organism in Eukaryota, Metazoa, Chordata, Mammalia, Chiroptera, Mormoopidae. The record is from RefSeq and is a predicted model, not a curated record.